This is a long non-coding RNA of Ictalurus punctatus (channel catfish), 1114 nucleotides long. NCBI's taxonomy places the organism in Eukaryota, Metazoa, Chordata, Actinopteri, Siluriformes, Ictaluridae. The record is from Ensembl.
AUUAUUAUUUAGGGAACAUAUGCAGGAGUCAGUAGGCUAAUUAGCAGACGUCUGAGCACUCAGGUGGAGUGGAGCAGUCAGAUGGCUGGGCAGAACGACUGAAACUUUAGCGCUAAACAACCAUGGCUACAAAUACCUGCAUCUAAUUAAAUAUUAAUAUUUAAGAAUAAAACAACGACGACAACAACAAUAACACUACAUUACUGAUUUUAAAAAAUCAUUAUUAUUAUUAUUAUUAUUAUUAGUAGUAGUAGUAGUAGUAGUAGUAGUAGUGGUAAUAGCAGUGUAGUAAUAGUAGUAGUGGUGGUAGUAGUAGCAGUAAUAGUACUACAGUAGUGGUGGUGGUAGUAGUAGUAGUGGUGGUGGUAGUAGUAGUAGUGGUAAUAGUAGUGUAGUAAUAGUAGUAGUGGUGGUGGUAGUAGUAGUAGUGGUAAUAGUAGUGUAGUAAUAGUAAUAGUAGUAGUGGUAAUAGUAGUGUAGUAAUAGUAGUAGUGGUGGUGGUAGUAGUAGUAGUGGUAAUAGUAGUUUAGUAAUAGUAGUAGUGGUAGUAGUAGUAGUGGUAAUAGUAGUGUAGUAAUAGUAGUAGUGGUGGUAGUAGUAGUAGUGGUAGUAGUGUACUACUAGUAGUAGUGGUGGUUUAGUAAUAGUAGUAGUGGUGGUAUAGUAGUAGCAGUAGUAAUAGUAGUAGUAACCCCAUUAUUUUCCAUUAUUUUCAUAUUAUUCCACAAUAAACUAUAUGUACACCUUCGUUUUUUUUCCUCCCCCUCUCUUCAUCCGUUUAUUCAUCUCCCCUCUCCGCUAGUCAAGUAACUAUCCAGCAACUAUUAUAUUUAUCCCAUACUUUUCACACAAUAUCAUCAGUACAUGUUUUAAUAUUAUUCUAACUAGUAACCCUGUUCUUCAAAUACCCUAUUAUUAAUAAACAUUAUUAACCCCUUUUUCACUAUGGGUUAUGUGGCCAUGGUUGAUUAUUCAAUAAUGUGUGAUAAAGUGUACAGUAUUAUUACUUAAAGACUGUGAUUUAUUUAGAGACUACUGUGAAACUAACAGAGAAGGUGUGUAUUUAUAGACCGACACAUGCUUCCUGUUUAAAGGGUUAAUAUUCUGUUAAAAC